AUGGAAUGCUGCCCCAUAUUCUUGGCCCCACAAUGGCCACAGUGUCAUCCAUGGAAGGGCAGUAAAUUUCCCAUUUGCACUGAGCACAAAGCAGCGCUCAGAUGUCUCUGCCAUCUGAGCUGGACCUUCUCUUCCUCCUGGCCGCAGAAGUCAAGGAACCAUGGAGUUGACUUUGCCCAGCUGCCUUGAGAGACAUGCGUCAUAGGUUUUUCAGGUUAGAGUCUGUGGCUCCUGAGGCACUGUGUGCCUUCCAGUUCUGGAGAAACUGAGGCACUCCUUCAGGCAGUGAAGCAUUCAGGAUGCUUUGUUUUCCUCUGCAUGUUCCCUUAGAAGGCAAGGAAGCAUGGUAGCUUGGCAGGACAAUUGGUCUUAGACAUGAAUCUUGUGUACUCUGUAAUGUUUGCAAAUAUCACCAUAUCCUGGCAACUUCAAUCGUAUUGAUCCUGGCAAUCACCACUAUAUUCUAUUUCUCACAGGGGUGUAAAAUGUCUGUUUGCUCUUAAUAAAAUUGUCACAGCCUCAGUCUUACUAUGGCCCCUCCAACUGGAACCUGUUUAACUCCUGGACUGACCAUAUCAGGUAACCCUGCCCCAGUAAGUCUCCUAUAACUCCUGCUGUGUCCUUGUAGGCUGAGGCUCCCAAAGCUAGGGCUCAGUUCUGCCCAUGGCUCCUCUGGUUCCCUCAUGACUACUCUGCUGUGCCAGGAUGCACAAUCACAGUUAGUUAUUAUCCCCACAAUGUUGUCUGUCUAUCAUCCACUCAAGCAAAUGGAUAAAUGUUGGGUGUACUUGCCAGGUGGGCUGGAAGCCUUUUAAGCUUGUUAAACAA
This 828-nucleotide long non-coding RNA is filed under the name Cricetulus griseus (Chinese hamster). Its description in RNAcentral is "lncRNA (ENSCGRG00000025400.1)". Lineage: Eukaryota; Metazoa; Chordata; Mammalia; Rodentia; Cricetidae. The record is from RNAcentral.